AAUCGACACUAGGGGUGCCUUUUUGGCUGAGAUGGGCGUUGGUCCGAUCCCUUUGAACCUGUUAAGUUAAGACUUGCGAAGGAAAGUGGCUAUUAAGAUCG
This 101-nucleotide non-coding RNA is filed under the name Secundilactobacillus kimchicus. RNAcentral describes it as "Lactobacillus kimchicus TPP sequence". It matches the Rfam family "TPP riboswitch aptamer (THI element)". From Rfam's summary of the family: Vitamin B(1) in its active form thiamin pyrophosphate (TPP) is an essential coenzyme that is synthesised by coupling of pyrimidine and thiazole moieties in bacteria. The record is from RNAcentral. RNAcentral also lists the same sequence under 1 other name. Lineage: Bacteria; Bacillati; Bacillota; Bacilli; Lactobacillales; Lactobacillaceae.